Molecule: unclassified non-coding RNA, 252 nt
Filed under: Glomus sp.
Lineage: Eukaryota; Fungi; Glomeromycota; Glomeromycetes; Glomerales; Glomeraceae
Description: partial internal transcribed spacer 2
Source: RNAcentral
GUGAAUCAUCGAAUCUUUGAACGCAAAUUGCACUCUCUUGUGUUCGUAUGCGUAUGUGUGUUUCAGCCUCAAAAAAAUCCACAAAGUCACUGUUUUCGCGGUGAUAUUCGUCGGAAAUUGGGUCAUCUUAAACCAUUGGGUUUUAAGCGGCUUACAAUUUUCUUUACGAUUCCACGAACGCUUCUAAGAUAGUUACUUCUUACACGAUUAACUUAUCGAUCUUUUUUAGACGGUGCCGUUGGAUAGGAUCAC